UAUGUUGAAUCAUGAUAAUUUUGUGGAUCGAUACGACUUGACGUAUUGACGCAUUGUUUGAAUAUCUGCCCUAUCAACUUUUGACGGUAGGAUCGAGGCCUACCGUGGUGUUGACGGGUAACGGGGAAUUAGGGUUCGAUUCCGGAGAGGGAGCCUGAGAGAUGGCUACCACAUCCAAGGAUGGCAGCAGGCGCGCAAAUUACCCAAUCCUGACACAGGGAGGUAGCGACAAGAAAUACCGAUAGAUAGCACGCUGUGUUAUUUUAUUGGCAUGACUUUUAUUUAAAAGUUGAAAGGAGUAACGAUUGGAGGGCAAGUCUGGUGCCAGCAGCCGCGGUAAUUCCAGCUCCAAUAGCGUACACGAACGUUGUUGCAGUUAAAACGCCCGUAGUCGGAAUUGUGAGAAGUAGUUGUUGGUUUCCUUCUUAUAUUGAGAAGGAGAUGAUUGGCAACUAUACUCAUAUUGAAAUAGGAUAAGAGUUCAUCUUGAUUGUAUGAAUUUUUAUUUUAUUUUUGUUUACUGUGAAAAAAUUAGAGUGUUUCAAGCGUUUUAUUUGAAAGGAUAGCGUAGCAUGGUAUAAAAGGAUCAUACAAGAUAUUUUACCUUUUGUAGGAAGGUAGAAAUCUUUUGAGGAAAAUGAAUCAACAGGGGUAGUUGGGGCCAUUUGUAUUCCAUAGUCAGAGGUGAAAUUCUUGGAUUUUUGGAAGACGAACGGAUGCGAAAGCGUUUGGCAAGGAUAUACCCAUUGAUCAAGGACGAAAGUUAGGGGAUCGAAGACGAUUAGAUACCGUCGUAGUCUUAACCAUAAACGUUGCCAUCUAAAAGAUGGUGUACUGUACUUUCAAAGUACAUCCUUUUUUUCCGGGAAACCAAAGUUUUUGGGUUCUGGGGGGAGUAUGGUCGCAAGAUUGAAACUUAAAGGAAUUGACGGAAGGGCACCACCAGGAGUGGAGCCUGCGGCUUAAUUUGACUCAACACGGGGCAACUUACCAGGUCCGGACAUUUUUAUGAUUGACAGAUUGAUAGCUCUUUCAUGAUUGAAUGGGUGGUGGUGCAUGGCCGUUCUUAGUUGGUGGAGUGAUUUGUCUGGUUAAUUCCGUUAACGAACGAGACCUUUUCCUGCUAACUAGUUUUUAU
RNAcentral lists this ribosomal RNA (1138 nucleotides) under Galdieria sulphuraria. RNAcentral describes it as "bacterial SSU rRNA". It matches the Rfam family "Eukaryotic small subunit ribosomal RNA", at positions 242 to 1365 of the family's 1831-position model. The record is from RNAcentral. Lineage: Eukaryota; Rhodophyta; Bangiophyceae; Galdieriales; Galdieriaceae.